GUUGUAGUCUGGAGAAGUGCUUUCCGCGCUGGACCGUGUAUAAGUCUCUUGGAACAGAGCGUCAUAGAGGGUGAGAAUCCCGUCUUUGACACGGACUACCAGUGCUUUGUGAUGCGCUCUCGAAGAGUCGAGUUGUUUGGGAAUGCAGCUCAAAAUGGGUGGUAAAUUCCAUCUAAAGCUAAAUAUUGGCGAGAGACCGAUAGCGAACAAGUACCGUGAGGGAAAGAUGAAAAGCACUUUGGAAAGAGAGUUAAACAGUACGUGAAAUUGCUGAAAGGGAAACGCUUGAAGUCAGUCGCGUUGUAUGGAACUCAGCCAUAGCUCUUGCUUGGUGCACUUUCUGUAUGACGGGCCAGCAUCGAUUUUGACCGUCGGAUAAGGGUUGAAGGAAUGUGGCACCUUCGGGUGUGUUAUAGCCUUCAGUCGCAUACGGCGGUUGGGAUCGAGGAACGCAGCGCGCCGCAAGGCAGGGGUUCGCCCACUUUCGCGCUUAGGAUGCUGGCAUAAUGGCUUUAAACGACCCGUCUUGAAACACGGACCAAGGAGUCUAACAUACCUGCGAGUGUUUGGGUGGAAAACCCGAGCGCGUAAUGAAAGUGAAAGUUGGGACCUCUGUCGUGGAGGGCACCGACGCCCGGAGCAGACGUUCUCUGACGCAUCCGCGGUUGAGCAUGUAUGUUGGGACCCGAAAGAUGGUGAACUAUGCCUGAAUAGGGUGAAGCCAGAGGAAACUCUGGUG
This 739-nucleotide ribosomal RNA is filed under the name Neofavolus cf. alveolaris WD2346. Its description in RNAcentral is "eukaryotic LSU rRNA". It matches the Rfam family "Eukaryotic large subunit ribosomal RNA", at positions 142 to 869 of the family's 3401-position model. The record is from RNAcentral. Lineage: Eukaryota; Fungi; Basidiomycota; Agaricomycetes; Polyporales; Polyporaceae.